RNAcentral lists this ribosomal RNA (477 nucleotides) under Lamellibrachia sp. 1 MPM-2010. Its description in RNAcentral is "partial 16S ribosomal RNA". It matches the Rfam family "Bacterial large subunit ribosomal RNA", at positions 1909 to 2599 of the family's 2925-position model. The record is from RNAcentral. Lineage: Eukaryota; Metazoa; Annelida; Polychaeta; Sabellida; Siboglinidae.
AAUGACAAACAUAGUUUAAUGGCCGCGGUACCCUGACCGUGCAAAGGUAGCAUAAUCAUUUGCCCCUUAAUUAGGGGCUAGCAUGAAAGGACACACGAAAGCUUCCCUGUCUCACAAUAACAAAUAAAAAUUAAUCUUCAAGUGAAAAAGCUUGAAUGAAACUGCAGGACAAGAAGACCCCGUUGAGCUUUAUUCUCUAUAGACUAAAUCAAAUAUUAAAUAUAUCAUAAACCUAAAAAGAAUUUAGUUGGGGUGACUAAGGAACACCAAAAACUUCCUUUUAUUAAUUAGGAUUAUUCUCCAUAUAAAUUGACCCAUUACAUAUGAUCAAAAAAAUAAGCUACCACAGGGAUAACAGGCUAAUCUUUCUCAAGAGCCCAAAUUGUCAGAAAGGAUUGGCACCUCGAUGUUGGCUUAGGGGCCCCUAAUGGUGCAGAAGCCAUAAAUGGUAGGUUUGUUCAACCUUUAAAACCCUAC